CCUACGGGUGGCAGCAGUAGGGAAUCUUUCACAAUGGGCGAAAGCCUGAUGGAGCAACGCCGCGUGCAGGAUGAAGGCCUUCGGGUUGUAAACUGCUUUUAUCAGCGAGAAAUAUGAUGGUAACUUAUGAAUAAGGAUCGGCUAACUACGUGCCAGCAGCCGCGGUCAUACGUAGGAGCCGAGCAUUAUCCGGGGUGACUGGGUGUAAAGAGUUGCGUAUGUGGCAUGAUAAGUAGCUAGUGAAAACUGUUGGCUCAACCAUUCAGACUAUUAGCUAAACUGUUAAUCUCGAGCGCGUUAGAGGCAUGUGGAAUUUCUAGUGUAGGAGUGAAAUCCGUAGAUAUUAGGAGGAACACCAAGGGCGUAGGCAGGAUGCUGGGACGGUUCUGACACUGAGGCACGAAAGCGUAGGGAGCAAACGGGAUUAGAUACCCGAGUAGUC
Molecule: ribosomal RNA, 442 nt
Filed under: uncultured bacterium
Lineage: Bacteria
Description: partial 16S ribosomal RNA
Rfam family: Bacterial small subunit ribosomal RNA
Source: RNAcentral